CAGGCCUAACACAUGCAAGUCGAGCGGUAACAGAGAGUAGCUUGCUACUUUGCUGACGAGCGGCGGACGGGUGAGUAAUGCUUGGGAAUAUGCCUUAUGGUGGGGGACAACAGUUGGAAACGACUGCUAAUACCGCAUGAUGUCUACGGACCAAAGUGGGGGACCUUCGGGCCUCACGCCAUAAGAUUAGCCCAAGUGGGAUUAGCUAGUUGGUGAGGUAAUGGCUCACCAAGGCGACGAUCCCUAGCUGGUUUGAGAGGAUGAUCAGCCACACUGGGACUGAGACACGGCCCAGACUCCUACGGGAGGCAGCAGUGGGGAAUAUUGCACAAUGGGCGCAAGCCUGAUGCAGCCAUGCCGCGUGUGUGAAGAAGGCCUUCGGGUUGUAAAGCACUUUCAGUAAGGAGGAAAGGUUAAGUGUUAAUAGCGCUUAGCUGUGACGUUACUUACAGAAGAAGCACCGGCUAACUCCGUGCCAGCAGCCGCGGUAAUACGGAGGGUGCGAGCGUUAAUCGGAAUUACUGGGCGUAAAGCGUACGCAGGCGGUUUGUUAAGCGAGAUGUGAAAGCCCCGGGCUCAACCUGGGAACUGCAUUUCGAACUGGCAAACUAGAGUGUGAUAGAGGGUGGUAGAAUUUCAGGUGUAGCGG
Molecule: ribosomal RNA, 649 nt
Filed under: uncultured bacterium
Lineage: Bacteria
Description: bacterial SSU rRNA
Rfam family: Bacterial small subunit ribosomal RNA
Source: RNAcentral